Molecule: ribosomal RNA, 253 nt
Filed under: uncultured bacterium
Lineage: Bacteria
Description: partial 16S ribosomal RNA
Rfam family: Bacterial small subunit ribosomal RNA
Source: RNAcentral
UACGGAGGGGGCUAGCGUUGUUCGGAAUUACUGGGCGUAAAGCGCGUGUAGGCGGCAGGGCAAGUCGGAUGUGAAAGCCCACGGCUCAACCGUGGAAGUGCACCCGAAACUGCCUCGCUAGAGUCUCGGAGAGGAAGGUGGAAUGCUUGGUGUAGAGGUGAAAUUCGUAGAUAUCAAGCGGAACACCGGUGGCGAAGGCGGCCUUCUGGACGAUGACUGACGCUGAGACGCGAAAGCGUGGGGAGCAAACAGG